This 1184-nucleotide long non-coding RNA is filed under the name Calidris pugnax (ruff). Its description in RNAcentral is "lncRNA (ENSCPUG00000006903.1)". Lineage: Eukaryota; Metazoa; Chordata; Aves; Charadriiformes; Scolopacidae. The record is from RNAcentral.
CGUCACCCUCACCUCUGCCAGCAAGAGAGGGUGAGGAGUUCAGGCAUUCUCAUCCUGGCUUUUCUUUUUUCUUAUUUUUCUCUAGGUCUGGAGGCUGGCGGAGUGAAAAAUCCUGCUGCAGCAAAGCGGAGUAGUGGAUCUAACCCUCAUGAGCAGGCACCAGGAAGCCAGUAGGCAUCGGCAACAUCACCGUUGGGCUUUCUGGAAUUUAAUAGACAACCUCUUCUCUACCACUACAAAAGAUUGCUCCCUGCUGACUCACGAGCUUCCCAGGAGUGAACUUCAAGGGUCCAGAGCUAGACCUCAUAGCUAAAGGUAGGACUGAAUACUUAUUUUUAUUCUCCUCCUUGAGACACAGCAUCUAAGCACAUUGGUUCUCCAGUGGGAGCUGCUGGUUGAAUCCAGACCUUCAGCUCAGAGCACAGACGUGACUAUGGGCAGUGACUUCUCCAUCUCCUCUACCACAAGGUCUUGGAGGUGAUGGAUUGGAGCUGUUAACCUGACAAACCCAAACCCUAUUCCUCGGUAGAAGACAGACCAAACAUCUGUUACACAGCUACAGAAAAGCCCGGUUUGAUUUGUUUCUUUCCUUAAAGGAAAAAUAGAAAAAAGAAAAGAAAAAAAAAAGCCUUUUUUUUACUCCAGGCACUCAGAACUUGGCAUCUCCCCUGAAGUGCAGGUAUUUUAUGCAUCUCAGCUGUUUCUGUGCUACAGCACGUGGGUGGUGUUAUUCUCCACCUGAGGAGCUGAUCCUCUUCUGAAUCCUCCCAAGAUCCUGGCUGCAGUAACGCCGCAGUGAUUUAUACAGCUCAAUCACACUCUAUUGAAAGUCUGUUUUCUUUUAAAUCCGCAGCAUUUCAUUUAAAUCCUGGCUGCUGGAUGUUACCUAAGCAGGUCUAGGGGCUCUAGGGGAGAGGAGUACCCAAAUCUGGCUGUUAUUGGGUAUGCACGUUCAGAAAACCGGUAAAAACAAGGCCGUUAUUUGAAAAGACUUAAAUCAAGAUAAAAUUCCUUCCCAGCUCAUAACCAUUUCAGCAGGGAUCAGGUCCUGGGCAAAAACUAGACAACAGCAUCCCUUUGGAUUCUUUCUUACUUCAAGGAAAUGGGGGUGAAAAAAACCAACCUUCCAGCUGAAAGCUUUAUUUGGGAAUAAAGUUUAUCUUCAACAUAUGUCUAAAGAGAGA